ACAGUUCCAAUUCGAUAUGCUCCACCAAAGUCCUGCCCCUAAGAAGAACGUGAAGAAAACUGGAUUAAAAGAGAGAUCAAGGACAGGCAGAAGGGAGAAGAGGAAGGAUAGGAAGUGCGGAUGCUGAUUCCAGGAGAAGGCAUCUAGAGUGAGUCCAUAGUUUAGCAACAUGAAUGGUGUCACAGGAACACAAGUGUAAAGCUGCAGUCAUCGAACUGACUCUUCUGGACACAUAACCUGAAGUGCUCAUUUAUACCUGUACGUGAGCCAAAGAAAGUGACUUGUACAUAUAUGCUAAAUGAAUGAAUGGGUAGAUGUAAAAACAACUGCAGUGUGGCAAAGUAGAGAAGGCAAUAAGGGUAGAAGAUUAAAAAUAUCACCAAAACAGCCUCAAGCCUGUAACUCCAGGGCAGAAACAGAAGUCUGUAAACCUGUCCCCAAGCUGACAUCACCUAUCCUCAACUGCAAUCAAACAGAAAUACAGCAGAAGCAACUGAGUACUCAGACCCAUUCUCUUCUUUUGUCUCCCUGAAUUUUAAUCCUGAGAAUAAACCAGAUG
Rattus norvegicus (Norway rat) is the source of this 559-nucleotide non-coding RNA. NCBI's taxonomy places the organism in Eukaryota, Metazoa, Chordata, Mammalia, Rodentia, Muridae. The record is from RefSeq and is a predicted model, not a curated record.